GUACCCUUCCCUUAACGGCGAGUGAAGCGGUAAAAGCUCAAAUUUGAAAUCUGGCUCUUUCAGAGUCCGAGUUGUAAUUUGUAGAAGAUGCUUCGGGUGUGGUUCCGGUCUAAGUUCCUUGGAACAGGACGUCAUAGAGGGUGAGAAUCCCGUAUGUGACUGGAUACCUAUGCUCAUGUGAAGCUCUUUCGACGAGUCGAGUUGUUUGGGAAUGCAGCUCAAAAUGGGUGGUAUAUUUCAUCUAAAGCUAAAUAUUGGCCAGAGACCGAUAGCGCACAAGUAGAGUGAUCGAAAGAUGAAAAGCACUUUGGAAAGAGAGUUAAACAGUACGUGAAAUUGUUGAAAGGGAAGCGCUUGCAAUCAGACUUGCACUUGGUGUUCAUCAGGGUUUCGUGCCCUGUGUACUUCAUCAAGUUCAGGCCAGCAUCAGUUUGAGUGGUUAGAUAAAGGCUUGGAGAAUGUGGCCCUCUUCGGGGGGUGUUAUAGCUCCAGGUGCAAUGUAGCCUACUUGGACUGAGGACCGCGCUUCGGCUAGGAUGCUGGCGUAAUGGUUGUAAGCGACCCGUCUUGACACCGGAACCAGCA
Molecule: ribosomal RNA, 585 nt
Filed under: Sclerotinia sclerotiorum
Lineage: Eukaryota; Fungi; Ascomycota; Leotiomycetes; Helotiales; Sclerotiniaceae
Description: LSU rRNA
Rfam family: Eukaryotic large subunit ribosomal RNA
Source: RNAcentral